This is a long non-coding RNA of Lepidothrix coronata (blue-crowned manakin), 905 nucleotides long. RefSeq lists it as uncharacterized. NCBI's taxonomy places the organism in Eukaryota, Metazoa, Chordata, Aves, Passeriformes, Pipridae. The transcript is spliced from 3 exons. The record is from RefSeq and is a predicted model, not a curated record.
CUGUGCAUGUUCAGCUCCCCUGUGCCGCACUCAAAGCUGGUGAAUCGCAGCCCACACUGGAUCAGGACAUAGAUCAUACUGCAAUUGCCAAGGGAAGGAUGGAUGGCAAGGUUUUCUCCAGAUGCAUGUGGUACUUUGCUGUCAGAAUGGACAGUAUAUGGACAAGGAGGGGUUUUUUUGAGAUGGACUUUUUCCUACCUUGGACUCGAUGUCUUUUCCAACCUUAAUGAUUCUGUGAUUCUGGGCCAUAGGAAAUACAGGGAUUUCUUGUACAGAAAAUAUUUGCUUCCAACUAAAGCCAAGUAUGGCCACGACCUCUGAGUAAGAAAAAAUUCAGGUGCAUCACAAAGAAAUUUAGCAACUUCUUGUCCAGUUUGCAUCCAGACAUGGAUCCCUUAUGAGAAGAACUCCCAGAAUUAACCACUACACAGGGAGACAGCACGAAUGAGCAGGAGUAGUCAGAGGUGACGAGGAGAUACACGAUCUGCACCACAGAGCUUAAUCCUCCCACAUAUCCUGCUCAUUUCAGCACAGCACUACAUUUUUUUUUAAUCUGCCAGAAAACCCAGCAGUUUCAUUAUGAGGAGGGCAGUAAACAUGUGAAUAACAACUGGUUUUCUACAGUAAGUACGUGCAGUAAAACUAACCACCCCCAGUACUGCUCUGUGCUUUUAAAUGUGCACAGACAAGUGAAGCAAAUCAUGCAGACACAAAACUUGGCAUGUAAAUUAAAGCAGACUAAUUGACUCUGCCUGAACUUUCUUCCCCUGAAUCCUAAACAACCUGCUGAGCAAGUGUUCUUCCUUACAGCAGUCAAAGUAAGAGGUAUUUUUAGUCUGGAAAACCAGCACUGGAGCAGUACAAAGCAGAAGGUUGGGUACACCAACCACGAGGUAUGGACUCAU